This 1100-nucleotide ribosomal RNA is filed under the name Cassidulinoides parkeriana. Its description in RNAcentral is "bacterial SSU rRNA". It matches the Rfam family "Eukaryotic small subunit ribosomal RNA", at positions 1160 to 1828 of the family's 1831-position model. The record is from RNAcentral. Lineage: Eukaryota; Foraminifera; Rotaliida; Cassidulinidae.
AAGGGCACCACAAGAACGCGUGGAGCAUGUGGCUUAAUUUGACUCAACGCGGGAAAUCUUACCGGGUCCGGACACACUGAGGAUUGACAGGCAAUAUUAUAAUUUUUUAAUUGAAAUAAAUUUUUAUUAAUUUAUUUUUUUUAUUUUUUAUAUGUUAAAUAUGCUAGUCCUUUCAUGAUUAUGUGAUAGGUGGUGCAUGGCCGUUCUUAGUUCGUGGAGUGAUCUGUCUGCUUAAUUGCGUUUCACUAUUGGGCUUAUAUAAUUACGUAUGUUGUUAUACGCUUUGACCCCUUUCUACGGAUUGUGCGUGUCUUUGUCUCGUUUAACUCAUACAAUUAAGCCCUGAAAGCAACGAACGUGACCGCAACCUCUUGUUGCUCUCAUAUUACCUUAUACUGCAUAAUAAAUUUGAAUAAUUUAUUUUAUUUUUAUUUUUUUAUGUUUAAGAGAGCUUUCUAAACUAGAGGGACCGCUGUUACUUUCUUAAACCAGAGGAAGGUUGCGGCAAUAACAGGUCUGUGAUGCCCUUAGAUGUUCCGGGCUGCACACGUGCUACAAUGAUUAUUGCAGUGAGCAUCUCAUUUUUUACACAUCGCAUGCGCGAGUCCAUUUAUUCAGAUAUCUUCGGGUGUUUGCUUUAAAUGUGUAUCUCUGCGCGCGAUAAAGCCUGCUUCGAAAGUAAGUGGGUAAUCAAUUAGAAGUAAUGAUUUCCUUUUUUUUUCUGCACACAUAUAUAUGGCACUUAUACCCGGGUAACCUUGUUGUUACUUUUGUGCGUAUACGUGAUAAUCUUUACCGAUUAUACUACCAUAUGUGCAAUUGUCAAUUCAUGGUGGGGACAGACCAUUGUUAAUUGUUGGUCUCGGUCUUAACUAGGAAUGCCUUGUACGGAUCUUUGGUUCAACAAACCAUCCGGAAUACGUCCCUGCCCUUUGUACACACCGCCCGUCGCUCUUACCGAUGGACUUCUCUGUGAGUUUGAGGGACUGGUAAAUUAAUGUAUUUAUACAUUGUCACUAUAGAAACUUAAACGAACAGUGGGGUCUAAAGGAAAGAGAAGUCGUAACAAGGCAUCAGUAGGUGAACCUGCAGAAGGAUCA